GUGACAUGUACUCAGACUCUGGCCUUGCUGUCUAGGUAUGUUUGUCUACUAAAGCCUGAGGUAAAACCAAUCAAUAUUUUUACUUUACAGUUCUUUGGAAACUAAGUAAGCGCAAAACACCAAAACCCCGGAGGUUACUGUAUGCACAAAAGUGUGUACAAAAUCAGCCAUUAGGUUAUUAUGAAAAGUAACAAAAAAUGCUACUGGGUGCAGGAUGUGAAAUGAGUAGAACAAGCAGGAAAAAUGAAACUCCACAUACUGUGCUGUGACUUGAACUGAAGAUAGCACAGUUGAUCAUACUCUGUUAAGCUAAUGUAAGCAAGACCAAAAGUGUGUGAAUUGUAUGGUCAACACAGAGGAUCAAUAUGGCCAAUCCUUUUGAAUGCCCUCAAUAGUAGUAUAAAACAGGGAAGUUGGACUGCACACAGAGAAGUUGGUGGCUUCAUUCUCGGCAUUUGGUGUUGUUUCAGCUAUUGCAGAUGUCUGCCUGGCAUCCGUUGACUACCAUGGUGGAGAGUCAGUCUGCUUUAGGUCCUGCGUCAUCUCUGCUAUUCCUGUGCAGAUAUCUUGCCUUCUCAAAUGGCACUGGGCACCUGUGCCUUGGACAGGAAUCCUGGCCUUUGCUUUGUGAAGCAGCACGUUCCUGAAGGGCCACAACAAUGUGGUCAUGGUCACAGCUAAGCAUGGCAGCAGUGAGCAAGUUGAACAAAUCUUUGAACAGGAUGAUUGAAGUAUUUUGGUUUGGUUUGGUUGGAAGACUGUACUAGCUUGCCAGAGGGAAUUCAGAGCAAACCAGAAUACUUUCCCAAAGAGAAGGAAAUCUUUUUCUGAACCAGCUGAGGAAAUGGCCACUUCAAUCUGCUUUCUAGAGGAACCUUUUUGGAAGCUUCCCCCCAAAUAUGCCCUAAACCAGAACAAAUACACUCAGCAAAUAAAGAGCUUUGGCUGGCACUGACCUGCGGCUGCAGGUAAAACGAGCAGGAUGAUCAGAGACGCUGCUCAGCAUUUAUGCACCAUGAGAGCAGCAUGUGACUCUACUGGUAGAAGGCAGAGAAGAUAAGGACCUACUGUCACAGAGGAGACACUGCUGCAGAGUGCAUUGCUGCAAGGUAUGCGGCUCUUCAGGUGGGAGCUGAACUGCAGCACAGUGGGAGAUCUGCUGCCUUUGAACUGCAGUGUGGCAUUGGGAGGGGCCCAGCACUGCUCCGGUGCCUCUGGGUGUCUCUGCUGAAUUCAUGCAGGCCUGACUUUCAUUUCUGUCAGCAGCAGGAAAGCACUUACAGGGUGGGGAUUUGAAAGAAGGAGAGGAAGUUCCUUAAUCUUUUCUACAUCUCCUCUGUAUCUUUGCUGAUGUAAAAAAUGGAGGAUCAACUUUCAUGUUCAAAUGUGAUUUCAUUUUUCACUGCAUUGAGAAUGGCAGAAUGUUUUGCGUGGUUCUCAUCUUGGCCAGGAGGAAACACUAGAAAGCUGGAUGAGAUCCAAGCAGUUCAGAUACCAGGACUCAGAGGAGCAUUUGCAAAGGAGUGGGUGCUCAUCUGUCAUGCACUGGCAGGUUCCCUUGAACUCAGUAGUACUCAUCUGAUUUAUACCAGUCACAGAGGUGCCCUGCAAGCUUUGAGUUAUUUGUCUAUGCUGUCUUUGCCAAGUUUCCAAACCUGUUGACUUGAACUUUCAGUAGUUGCUUUCCAAGUGCUCUCACCCCACCCUUCCUGGCAAUAGGUAUCCAUGUAGCUCCGUGUGAUGGCUGUGGGAACUGCUGUUGUAUAUCCUGUGGAGAACAGAGCACUGGUGUCUGUAUCCUGCUGUCUUGCAGAGUCAAGGCUUGAGGCACUGUGCCACUGGUGCUGAGGUGAAGGGCAGUGAGUUGGAUAGAAGUUGUUCAGGAUCAGACGGGUGGUCUAUCUAAUCUGGGAUCUUGGCACUGAAAGUGGCUAGUGCUAACUGCUGUGGAGAAACUGCCUCUUUUUCUCCUAUUAUUUAAUUAUUCGGAUAUAAUGUGACCCUUUUUUGUCAACAGUAAGAAUACAUGUUUGUAAAAAAAGAAUUUAACUGUGCACUACUUGUUCUGUGGUCCCCAAACUUGUCUUUUUACAGAACAUGAACUUUUUCUGCUGUCUUUUCGUGUGUUUAGCAGACAGUGGGGGAAUCGACAAAAAACGUUAAAGGCUUCCUCCAGAUUCUGCUGAAGCCACUAGUGUAUUGUCUUUUCCAUUCCACCAUUUGGCUUAGCACUUUGUCCUAAGCCUCCUUUCCAUGUAAUGAUAAUUAGCAUGACUCCAAUAUUCAGUAUGGUUUUGGAAGUAGCAUCUUAUGAGAUGAAGAUGAAAGUAAUGAAAAAUGAAUGUCCAAGCCUCACGCUUCUCUGUCCAUAACACUUCUCUUACAAUUUCAUUUCGUUUGGUUCAAUUUGCAUUUCUUGUCUGAUCUCUUGAAACAAACACUUGUCUGAUGUAUCUCUUUCCAUUUGUAUUACCAAAUGACCAUCAUAUCAUAAAGGUAGGUAUGCCAAAUGCUUACUGUUUAUCAAUAAUUUGAUUUGUUGUUGUGCAGCAAAUAACACGGGAAUCUGCUGUUUCCUUUAUUCAUCAAAAAGGGCUGAUACUUGGGUGUGUGGUUUUAUAUCAAUCAUGGCUAAUCUAUUUCUAAACACCAAAAAGGUGGUGAAAGGGUGUCUGUCCCUGGUUCUUGUGUUGUGUCAGCAGCAGCACUGGGGACUGGAUCUGGCUGACUGCUGAGGAUGCAUCUUCAUGUGCUGACACAAAGCGUGGAGGACAGACAGGUGAGAUGGGGGAAAGGAAGAUUUGUCCCUUGCUGUAGUAUUUCAGAGUUCAACUAGAUGAAGCUGACCAUGACAUUACACCCUUUCUGUAGCUGCAUCUCUGCUCUUUCCAUUUAGACCCCAGUUUGUUAGAUGAUUCCUUCAGCAAGUGAAAAAAAAAAAAAAAGAAACAUGUAGACAUGCUUAAUGUGUUUAGAAAUGUGCAGGAUAAAAAGACCAAACCCAUUGAAACAAUUAAAGUCUUUCCUGUAAAUACUUGUGUGUUUUUCUUUUCUGAUAAACCAGAG
This is a long non-coding RNA of Motacilla alba alba, 3066 nucleotides long. RefSeq lists it as uncharacterized. NCBI's taxonomy places the organism in Eukaryota, Metazoa, Chordata, Aves, Passeriformes, Motacillidae. The record is from RefSeq and is a predicted model, not a curated record. The transcript has 3 exons.